CAAGUGAACACUGCAUAUAUAUUAGUGUUAGUGUGCUACAUAUAUAUAGCAAGUGAUGUGUGAUAGAGCUGCAUUUGCACCUGCACCUACAGAGAGGAAGAUGAAGCAGCAAGCUAGCAAUACGUGCUUGAUCGCUAUACGCUAGCUUCUUGCACACAAUGUUGUUCCUGGUCUCUUCCUGAUCCCUAGGUGCAGAGGCAGAUGCAACUAUGUCAUAGACUUCACAUCCAUCUUUAGUUACUUACCACUAUAUAUUCAAUAAAUUAGCUAGCACCCUAGUUCUCUUGCUGAUUCCUUUCAAAAAAUCUUCAUUGGUGGUCGAAACUGGUACAUAACAACCAUCAAUAGCGGGGGGCAGGGUCAGAGUGGCGGCAACACAAUGAGUUUUGUGUGUGUUCGUUUGCAGAGGUACUUGCUUGGACGAAGGAAAAGAGGGCGAGCAUCACGAAUGCAUGGAUGAUCAAAGAGGUUGAUUGGGGACCAAACCAAGACCUUCUCCAAGUAUACUUCUACCCCACCACGUCACUUUUUGUCCAUAGAAAACAAGAGAUAAAGUUCUACACGUUUUGGAUUUGGAUUUAGGCCUCCUGACAGCAUCAACUUCAAACUUCGGGGCUCCUGACCUAGCCACUGAUCUAGAAGGAAUUUCGGGGCCCAUGAGUACUUGUUGGAAAGCUUAUGAAGUCUACUUUCAUAUCGUUUUGGUCCCACGUCAAAAUUCCUACUGAGCUGCCAGGAAUCUGCAAAACAAACCACACACCUCAUCUAGUCCGAAUCUUAUUUGGGUUUUGGGCCUUGUAAUUGUGUCGUGGGCUUAGCCCAAGGACAUCCCUAAUCAUACUUAAUCAGUAGCCGUCAUUGUUUAGAGUCGGGUUUUGCUUAGAUUAUUCUGUCAAGAAUAGUUUCGCCGCUAGAUCGGUUUGUAGAACCCUAAAUUCGAGUGCUUAAUCAUUCAUAUGCAAUUGUGUUGCAA
Molecule: long non-coding RNA, 973 nt
Organism: Oryza sativa Japonica Group (Japanese rice)
Lineage: Eukaryota; Viridiplantae; Streptophyta; Magnoliopsida; Poales; Poaceae
Source: RefSeq, a predicted model, not a curated record